Molecule: long non-coding RNA, 484 nt
Organism: Myotis davidii
Lineage: Eukaryota; Metazoa; Chordata; Mammalia; Chiroptera; Vespertilionidae
Exons: 3
Source: RefSeq, a predicted model, not a curated record
UGAAAAUGAAACCAAAUUCAAAACAGAAGAAGUAUUUUGGGCAUAUAACUUCUGCCCUACUCCAUAUUCUUGGACUGCACUUCUGGGCCUUAUUUUAUAUCUCGUUUUCUUCGCACCUGGAAUGGGACCAAUGCCUUGGACUGUGAAUUCUGAAAUAUAUCCUCUUUGGGCAAGAAGUACAGGAAAUGCAUGUUCAUCGGGAAUAAAUUGGAUUUUCAAUGUUCUGGUUUCACUGACAUUUUUACACACAGCAGAGUAUCUUACAUAUUAUGGAGCCUUCUUCCUCUAUGCUGGAUUUGCUGCUGUGGGACUCCUUUUCAUCUAUGGCUGUCUUCCUGAGACCAAAGGGAAAAAAUUAGAGGAAAUUGAAUCACUCUUUGACAACAGGCUCUGUACAUGUGGCGCUACUGAUUCUGAUGAAGGGAGAUAUAUUGAAUAUAUUAGGGUAAAGGGAAGUAACUAUCAUCUUUCUGACAAUGAUGCU